GAAAAAAUGAGUCAAUCACAUGAAACAGUGGAUUUGGAAAGCUCAGUACAAGUUAUUGAAGAAAGUUUUAAGUGUCUUAGUACAUACAAUAUCAGCGCUUUUUUUCUUCCUCAAGGAUACCUGAAUGCAGAUAUUUAAAGACUACUGCACCUUCCUCAUUACUAAGAACCCACAAAGAAGGAAGACAAAUAUCUGAAGAGAGAAGCAGUCAGAAAUACUAAAGUAAGGAGAGUUGCAGCCAGGUCUGUGGAUUUCAGUUAAGUUGGUGUGAUGAGUGCCUGUUUUGGUUUAGCCUCCAAUGCACCUUUUUUGGGCACGAUGUUCCAGAGAAGUCCUUGUGCUGUGGAUAUGUGAGAUGAAAGCUAGGACUUAUCAAAUGAGCUGGGAGCUGUUCUGACAACUUAUGUUGAUACCAUGCUGCUACCAUGAGGAGUUGACGUCUGCCUCUAGAGAGCUCUUCUCUGGGCUGAACAAAGCAACAGACCUCAGUGGCUCCCCCCACUCCUCGCCCUUCAGACCCUCCCCGAUCUUUGUGGGCUCCUCUUUGCUACGUCAUCAGGACAUCAGGUGAUGCUUAGCAGGGAUCUGUGUGCCUUUUUACAGGACUCUGAGUGACACAACUGUCCUGAGGUGGACUUCUGCCCUCCUGUAUGGGAAGAAACAGGUCCUCUGCAGCAGGCAGCUCCACAAAGGGUCUCACCUCGUCAAAAGCCAUUUCAUAGGAGUGUGAGAUUAGCAAAGCAGCAGCUGAAACAAAAGCUACCUGUUAAAUACACCGAAGGUCAGCUACAGGAGGAUGAUGCUGGAUGCUUCAAAAACAAGACCUCAAGAAUAUCCCAGGCUGGAAGGGACCCACGAGAAUCACCGAGUCCAACUCUGGAUCUGCACAGGACCACCCAAAAUCUAUGUCUCAGAGCAAUGUCCAAAUGUUCUCUAAGCUCCAGCAGCUCAAGGCCGUGCUCAGUGCCCUCUGGGGCAGAGCCUUUACCCCAAACCAACCUGACACACUCCCUUGAUGCAGCUCCAUGCCAUUCCCUCAGGACCUGUCACUGUUACCAGAGAGCAGAGACCAGUGCUACCCCUCCACUCCCUGUGAGCAGCUGUGGGACACCAUGAGAGAGCUCUUCUCUGGGCUGAACAAAGCAAGGUGUCACUGACUCGCGUCUUGUGGCUGCUGACCCAAGAAGCAACGUAUCCAGAGCUCUCUCUCUCUCUCCCUUCCACCUUUCUGGAGGAGGAUGGAUCCUCCUCCACCAAAGAAGCUUAAGCUUCAGGGGAGCAGCAGAGAGCCUAAAGAAAUGGAAAAUGAUCCUCCUAAAGAUGACGUCAAGCCCAUGGAGGUGGAUCUGCCUCUGGAGGCAGAGCCAAUGGAGGUGGAUCCACCUCCAUCAGGCCUGGGCAAAUGCUGUAACACCAUGCUUGUCUGGAGAUGUCGUCUCAUCUGUUGGCGACGCAGCAGGGGCUCUCGAUUUCCAUCUUGGCGUUGAAAUGUCAUCAUCUGCCAGAGAGCCCCUGCGACGGCUGCUGCUCCCCACCCCCUUCCUUUUCCAUUCUCCAUCUUUCCAUAAGACCUCUUCUCCCCUCUUCCUUCCCACGCUCUGAGGAAAAGGAAGGACUUGGACUGGUGUCCACUGAGCUGUGCUGGGACAGCAAGGAGGAGUCCAACAGAAAGCCUCAAGAUCCCUGCAGCCUCCAGGUAAGCCCUAAGAGGGCGAGGCUGGGACUGGUGUCCAUUAAGCAGCUGUGCUGGGACAAUAGGAGUCCAGCGGAUAACUCUGAGCUCCGAGGUGAGCCCCGAGGAAGAGGGCAGGACAGGGACUGGCGUCCACUGAGCUGCUGUGGCUGGGACAAAAGAGGAGUCCAGCAGAUGGCCCUGAGCUCCUGGCAGCCUCAAGAAAAGCCCAGAGGAAGAGGGUACGACUGAGAAUAGUGUCCACUAUGUUGUGCUGCCAAAUGAUGAAGAGCAUCACAUCACCCCCUUAAAUCUUUACAGAAAAGAGCAAUGACCCAAAGAAAGAACGCCUUCAGACGCAAACACAGCAGAGGCCCAAGCCUCCCAAGCCUUCUGACUCUGAUACCACCGUGAUUACUGAGCUUUCCGAAGGUUUCACGUUUCUUGACAUAUUCCACGUGCCUUUCACUCCCAAAAGAGGUGAAAAUAAUCUGCUAUGAUUCUUGCCAGACCAAAAUUGCACAAACGCUUGCUCAAAUUAAGGCCAGUUCCUCAUUAACAGGACAAUUAACCCUUCUCAUUACCCAAAUCAUCAGCAUGGAUUAUGAAAAGAAGGCAUGAGAAGGAGUUGGGAUUACAUCUUACAGGUGUAGAAGAACUACCCAAGCCCCUUUAGGAGGCUGCACUACCAGCAAAAGUGGGGAUCCACUCUUCUGCAGGGACUUGACCUUCCAUCCUCACCUUCCGCUACCUUGAGACUGCCUCGAGGCAACUUACAGCACUGCUGUGAACAUGUGAAAUCCUUCUUCCACUGAAAAGUCAGCUUGCCACAGGAUCUAAUGGAGCCAAGACGGUAGAUUUAUUCAGAGGCCUCCAAAAUCCUGAUUAUGCUGUUCAAUGAGUAUCCAUGUAAAUUAAAUAACGUUACUAGCCCAAGACAGGCAGCAGCAUUGAAAAGCCUUUUUCUUUUCCCAGUUAAUCUUCAGGUAUUCAUCUGGGUCCACAGAUCUGCCUGAAAAGUGUAGCAAGACCAGAACUCUUAUUUGGGGGACUAACAUCAGGAAAAUACAUUUUAGGAAAGAUUUGUGAUUGAACUGCUACAAAAAUUUGUUCCUACUCCUAUUAAUACUAAAUCACUCUCUGGAACUGUUCAACGACCCUAACUGCAUUAACAGUGACUUCUGUUUUUAUGCAAAUUGGAAAGAACAAAACCCUAACAACUGAGGAGGCAUAAAUCCACCUCCCCCACACUCUGGGUCUGCACCUAAUCAUUAUUAUUAUUUACCAUAUGAAAAGGAUGGAAAGAAACCAGACUUAGGUUUCCUUUUAGGUGUAGAUUUUAUGAAGAAAUACCAGCUCCUAUAAAACUUUGUCAUAGAUGCCCACGAACUCAGGAACUCAAGAGACGCCUCUGUUUGAGUUAUGCUGAUUUUCUUGACCAAACUGAAACAAAACAUUGCUCCCCAACCCUGCAGUAGAAACUAGCUCAAGUCUGCCCUCUGCGUUCCAUUUUCUCAUUUUCAUGCCUUGCGUUUGAAUGCCUCUCUGCUAAAGCAUCUGUCACUUUCCUCUGGUCAUCAGCAUUUUUAGCUGUAAAAAAAAGCGAAAGAAAAUUCUUAGGUACUUUACAGAUUCCAGACAUUCACUAGGAAUGAUGCAUUCAGUGGUAGAACAUUUCCCUUCCAUAUUCUUGUCUCCCUGAGCUGCUGUUCAGCACACUAUGACCAUUACAUGGCCUUAUAUUUCCCAGAGUUUACCAGAAAUUUGACAGAUUGAACGGUCUCAUGUUUUUAUGGUAAGGAAAGGUAUUUUAAAUAUCACAACUGAAAAAGCUGCACCGGAAACCUGUUACCUUAUGCAUGUUCCAGUUGACCUGUUCUAAUUCCCAACACAGUUGCAAUUAUUUUAGGAGAGAAAACAUCACACGCAUCUAAUUAUUUGGAUCAUUUUUUGCUUUGGACAGAUGGCAACAAUCUUACAUAAGCACUAUCACAAAGCAUUAGGGCAGUCUGGUUUUUUGACCCAUAUCUGAUCAUUUUGCAGCUCACGCAACUGUGCUUCCAGCGGUAGAUUCCCCCAUGCAAAGUUCCCAAAUGUGGUAAAUAAAGCCAUCUGUUGUGGAAGCCGGGUUUUAAAAUUAUAUGCCCCGUUAGCCACCGUUCUGCAUAUUCAUGUCUUAUACAUAAGUAUGCCUUUCUAAAAGGAGUUUUGUUCACCUCAUUUUGCAUAUUUGUGGGCCAGCUCACAGAUAUCUUUAUUCUUAUAUUAACUUGAGUCAGAGUGACUUCAGUCUUUAUGCUUUUCAUUGCCUUCUUCCUGCUUCCUACAUUCUGUUCCUCUCAAUCAUAAUCACAAAUGAAGGUAAGACCUUCAAAAAGUUUAUUUAAUGGAACUGGCAUUCAUUCCACAUCUCCAUAAAUAUAUGAAUGUGACAUACAUAAAUAACAACAAAAACAUCUCAUAUGAAAGGGAUCUCAUCAUCCUUUAGACCAACUCAAAUAUCCUCUUCUCUGUAAAAAUGCAUGUGAAGCACUCGAAGUAAGGGGGAAUUUCUAAGGUAAAACAUACCUUAAUGUUUGUUAAGUCAGCAAGUGUUUAAACAGCUAUUUCCAGAACUGUUCCUAUUCUUCUGCUUUCAUCACUCUCUUUAGUCACUAGAAGUACUAGUUCUGGUUAGGAAGGAGGGCAACAAGUAUGAGUUUAUGGUGCAAAUUAGCAUUUCAACUACUCAUCAGUCAUACGGUCCGUAAAGGUUAUUCUUAAAGUUUUAAUACUGCUCCUCUUUUCACCCAUAUGAAGAUACAGCACAUCAGACACUCAUCUCUUGUGAAGGAAUUUGGAGCACCACCUGGCAUUAUGCCAGCCAAGAUUCUUCUCAGCCGGUUUACGUUUUAGCUAACUUGUAGAUAAAGGGUUAGUUAGUUAGUUAGUUGGUUAGUUGAAGUUUGGUAUGGUUUUUCAUGCUUAAUUUUUGGAAAAAGAAUGCAGUAUUUUCUAUCCCAGAGUCUUGCUCUGUUAGCCUAGUCAAAGUAUUCUUGGUUUUUGGUGACCUAGGGGUUAUGAAUUCCACCAGUCAUAUCACUUGCAAACAUGAAGUGAAAGCGGUGGAACGGUAACGUGGGUAAACAUACAUGCACUUCAAUUAUGUCUGUAUUUUGCCAAUUUAAAAGAAAAUAGCAGACCACUUAUUACAAACUGUAGUUUUCAGCAUCCCGUUACGACCGCUCUCAUCAUUUGCUUUGAUGACUUUAAAAUAUCAAGAUCUGUAGAGACGGAGUAGCCCUACAGAUUAUUUGGGCUGUCUUUUAGUAAAGCAUCUGCUUCUGUGUUUACCCCUAAUUCCUGUGUUUGAAGAAUCAAACACCCUAAUUGAGGCUCUGGAAAGCCUAAUUGAUGGGUUUUUUUUAAUAGCUGUUAUUCUCAUAAGGCACAUCAUCCAGGAACAGUCAGAAGAUAAAGAGCUGAAUACUCCACAGUUUAUUGGAGCUUGUUUUGAAGGUCUUGUGAAAAAUCUGUGCUUGCCAUCUACGGUUUCUUUAAACCUUUCUUUUCUAUCAUAUUUGUUAAUGAAAAUACAGUUUUAUGGAGAAAAUUAGAAACUCGAAUACCUACAGGAAAUACUGAAGAGACGGACUGGAAGAAAUCUGAGGAAAGUCUUAGUUAUUUCUGAAUCUCAGAAGUGCCAAGAACUAAACAAGAACUUUACUUUUGAAUCAUGAACCAAGUAAGCAAUUUUAAAGUUUUUGGUCACUUGAAUUAAAAAGAUAUAAACUGGUAUCUUUCAUGUAGAAUAUUUUAUAGAGCAGCUAUGCUCACUGACUUCUAACUAGAUGAUUAUUUGACAAGGAAAAACAUUUUUUGUUAUAUUCUGAAAAGUAGUCCAAAGUCUCAUUUCAGAGAGGGUAGAUGAAAAAAAAAAUCAGUGCCUUUAUAGAAAAUGCAACCAAAUAUUCUGAUUACGUAGGCAUAACAAAGCAUUUGAAAUGCAGACAUAGAAUAAUGGCAAAAUCAUUUUCCAGAUCCAUUUCAAAGUUAUUUUUCUUAUUCUUUUUCUAUGCAAUCUUGCUUUUUUUCCUAAAGGCUUAAUCCUGCUACUUUUACAAUGGUACAUUACCCACAAGAUCAAAUGAGAUCCUGAGGGAAGUAUUCAAAGAGAAGGAAAAUGGGCAUGUUUAUAAUUCUUCCCGUUUGGCAAUUAACUCAAAUGCCUAAAUUAAAAGAAUAGCUUCCCUCGGUUUACCAGAUGAUUAAUAGAGAACAUUCCAGUAGGCAAUCUGAAAUGCUAACCUAAGUUCUUGCUAUUAGUAUUCUUUUGGAACUCCUGCAUAUUUUCCCUUGGACUGAGAAACGAGCUUACUUUACAUUAUUUAAACUUAAGUGAUGUUAAUAGCCCUGAAAAGCAUUGGUGGUCUUCUGUACAAAUACAUGCCAACUGAUAACAAACAGAAGACCAUUAUGCCAUAAGGACAGCCAAUCUAGAACUGCUCAGAAUUUCCUUUGCAGGGUCUUGGCAAUAAACUAGUUCUAAGUGGAUAAAACUAAAUCCAAUUAUUUCUAAGAAUGCAGUCUUACAAAAAAUGUACACUGAAAGUCUACAUAAUGAAUAUUUUCUCAUUAAUUACCACGGUCUUCAUUCUGCGUUGUUCUUGUUUGUUUGUUUUUAAUAUAAUUUUUGUACCAGUUUUUAUUAAUGAGUAAUCUACCCUGUGCAGGAGAGACUGCAGGAGUCUCAUUUUCACAGAGCUGAGAUGGUGUACGUUUAGUUAGAUUGUCUGUACACUUGCAUCAGGACACCAGUUACUCAGGCUUUCACCUCUGUAUGUAUUCAAGAUAUUUCUUUUCAUUUUUCCUUUCCCUUGUUCUCCUUUUCCCCUGCAGCAGGCUGCGGCGUUCGUCUGAACUUCUGCUUCAUGGUAAAUAUGCUGCAAAAAUGGCACAGUGACACAGAAAACAAAAUGAAUAAAUCAUUAAGAUUUACAAGAGUGAACUCACAGAAAACCAGCUUCGAUCUCUGUUAAACCAGUUUUCUAAAUACUGGAUACAUAAUCAUAAAGCAAAUGGAAUAGCAGUAGAUUAGUAAGUUAACUAUUUAGUUUUCCCAGGAGGAGAGUAAUCAACUUUUUGUUGCUUCUUUAUAUAUUUUCUACCACACUGCAGUCAUGGUCAAAGAUCUAGAAUUCCUAGCUGAAACCGCAAGCAAAUAAUAAUUAGCUUCCAGGUGAAUGCUAAGCAGUUUGUCCAAUUGCUUGCAGCUGGGCACACUCUGGUUGGUGGAAACUGUAGAACAGCAAACAGGCCGACACGUUUGAAAGAAAGGUUAUCUGUCCGAGCUUUUUCACGUCUCCAUUAGUUUUCUGUUUUCUUGGCAAGGUGCUGAAAGCUUCCAAAAUGUUUUGAAGGUCCAUCGUUUUACAAUCACUGUUUUUACUUUGGAUAGGUACGUGAAAAUCUUGGAAAACUUAGUGGAAGUAUUUAAAAAAAUAAUCAUGUGACAUUAAACAUUCAACCAGACAGAGCCAACUCUUGUCUACAAAACUGCUGGACAUUCACAGACGUUUAUUUCAGAUGAGCAGGACUCUGUUAUUUCCAGCAUCACUGUGUUUUUGUCUUUGGAAUUUCCUAACAUUUUAAAAACCCCUCUGUUUCUCACUUGAGUCACAACUUGCAGGCUUCUUGUCUCUCACCCCUCAGGCAAGACCUACUUUUGCAUAAUUUACACACUCUUGCAAUUCAGAAGCUUUCUAGAUGAUAUCCCACCAUGUUGUUUAGCUCUUUUGUUGUAAACAUAGCUUGUUCCUAUUAAAUGCAAAGGUCAACAGAAGCUGAUAGCAAUGAAUGAUCAUCACUAACUCACUUAGGAAAAUGUGUUCCACAAAAACAGUUGUCAUUACAAAAAAAGAAGCAAAAUAACUGUUAUGGAUGUUAAGAAUAAGAAUACAGACAAGGGAGGGAUGAAGAAUUAGAGAAAUAAAUAAUAAAAAAAAGUAAGCAAAAUGUUUCUUUGUGUAACCAUGAUCCUCUUGAUUGACUGACACGAAAGCCAUGGCUCUACUGCAUCCUGUUGCCUCUUACAAAUAUUUCACUUCAUAUUUGUAUAUUUAAAAGACCCAGAGCUGAAACACAGAAAAAUACUAAAGCUAAAAUUAGCUGUAAAGAUAACAUAGCAGAAUGUGUAGGUUUAAAUAACUGUCAGCAUAACUUCUGAUUUCCUUUUAUUCUAUGUGCCAUCA
This is a long non-coding RNA of Centrocercus urophasianus (Greater sage-grouse), 7902 nucleotides long. RefSeq lists it as uncharacterized. The record is from RefSeq and is a predicted model, not a curated record. The transcript has 10 exons. Lineage: Eukaryota; Metazoa; Chordata; Aves; Galliformes; Phasianidae.